GAGGAAUAUUGGUCAAUGGGGGCAACCCUGAACCAGCCAAGUCGCGUGAAGGAUGAAGGUCUUAUGGAUUGUAAACUUCUUUUAUACAGGAAUAAAUUGGGGGACGUGUCCCCUUUUGCAUGUACUGUAUGAAUAAGGAUCGGCUAACUCCGUGCCAGCAGCCGCGGUAAUACGGAGGAUCCGAGCGUUAUCCGGAUUUAUUGGGUUUAAAGGGUGCGCAGGCGGGAUGUUAAGUCGGCGGUGAAAUUUUGCAGCUCAACUGUAGAAGUGCCUUCGGUACUGGCUUCCUUGAGUUGAGAUGAAGUAGGCGGAAUUUGUGGUUUAGCGGUGCAAUGCUUCGAUAUCACGAGGAACUCCGAUUGCGCAGGCAGCUUACUAAACUACAACUGACGCUCAUGCACGAAGGCGUGGGGAUCAAACA
This 421-nucleotide ribosomal RNA is filed under the name uncultured bacterium. RNAcentral describes it as "bacterial SSU rRNA". It matches the Rfam family "Bacterial small subunit ribosomal RNA", at positions 356 to 774 of the family's 1533-position model. The record is from RNAcentral.